ACCCUGCGCGCGCGCAUACCUGCUACUACUGUGAGGGGAACAGCGUGAAUGCCCUUCCUCUCCCGGCCUUUCCCUCCAGGCAGUUACGACAGGCCAUUAGAGGUUAUUUACAUUCAAUAGUUACACCUGCCACACCUGUAAAGUCUUCUAAUUUUCGUGAAAUGUCUUCAAUCCACUCUUCUAUAGAAGCAAAGGAGCAUUCUUUAGCACCGGUGUGUUGGCGAUGGUUUACUUUAUUUAAUGCCUAAAUGUGGACUAUCAGGACAAUAUUAUGACUGAAAUAGAGAGGAGUGACCAUCACCAAGUGAUCCUGGACUUGGAGCUGGAUGCAGGAACUGAUGAGACUUUGGAUCUCCCCUUUUGGGGAGGCAUGUUGAACAGCAGUUGCUGAAGUGAUUUUGAUGAAAUAUGACCUUUGAAGACUGUGGCCACUGACCAAAGAAUCUGAACUACAGUUUCCAACAUUUUACAGGCUACAAAACGUAAGCUGGCCAGCAUUUAUUGCUUGUACUAACAGCUUGAGUCAAGUUUCCUAAGCCUACAGGGAAGACCUCUUACUGCUGCUAAUUUUACUAUCAGCAAAGAAAAGGGAAAUAGGAAACCAUAUGGAAUGGCUGAAUGAGAGCAUUUGUGAGAGCAGUAUGAACUCGGAUUAUCCGAAGAGAGGGCAACUUUUUUCUAAAACUAAAAAGGACUCAAUUUGCAUAGAAAUAAAGUGGGGAAAAAAUGUAAUGUAGAAAAAGUUAUAAGCAGAGAUUCUGCUCUGGCCUCUCAGGAUGGCAUUGAUUUACAUAUUAAGGCAGUCACCAGGGAAAUGUUAAAAACCCUCUAGGGAAAUUUCCAAUGUGAUGGAUAGAACUUUAAUAUUAAUAUAGGAUUCAUCAUGAUAAUGUAAGUCAUAGAUCUAAGUCUCCCUUCAUCAAAUGAAUAGUCCCUUUCCAGCCUAUUAUAUAGGCAGCACAUGCUUUAAAUAGUGUCAUGUGGGAGACUUGAAGUCUUUCUUUACCUGCAGUUUCUGAAGUUUUGUUCACAGGAAUAGUGACCCACCGGGUCAUCCAUCUUUAAUUACGUCAUCUAGACCAUUUGCAUUUUCCCCUUUUUAUUAAUAUUUAGUGUUCCUUAAAAUAUACUUCCAUCGUACUUUUUUUCACAAAUAGAAAAAGCAUAAUUCAACACAUACUAUUUCAUACAUGCAGUGACUAUGAAGGGAAGAUCUGAUUCUUAAUCUAUUCGUUGAUCAUUAUACAAGGAAAAAAGUGAUUUCUGGGUUGCUAUUUGA
Aethalodelphis obliquidens (Pacific white-sided dolphin) is the source of this 1279-nucleotide long non-coding RNA. RefSeq lists it as uncharacterized. NCBI's taxonomy places the organism in Eukaryota, Metazoa, Chordata, Mammalia, Artiodactyla, Delphinidae. The transcript is spliced from 4 exons. The record is from RefSeq and is a predicted model, not a curated record.